This 72-nucleotide transfer RNA is filed under the name Marmota monax (woodchuck). RNAcentral's name for it is "tRNA.Undet". The record is from RNAcentral. Lineage: Eukaryota; Metazoa; Chordata; Mammalia; Rodentia; Sciuridae.
GGGGAUGUAGCUUAGUGGUACAGUGUUUGCCUACCCUGUGCAAAUCUCUGGGUUCAAUCCCUAGCACCACAA